UCGGGGACAUUGGUGACAGGUGGUGCAUGGUUGUCGUCAGCUCGUGUCGUGAGAUGUUGGGUUAAGUCCCGCAACGAGCGCAACCCUUGUCUUUAGUUGCCAUCAUUAAGUUGGGCACUCUAGGGAGACUGCCAGGGAUAACCUGGAGGAAGGUGGGGAUGACGUCAAAUCAUCAUGCCCCUUAUGCUUAGGGCUACACACGUGCUACAAUGGGUAGUACAGAGGGUUGCCAAGCCGUAAGGUGGAGCUAA
RNAcentral lists this ribosomal RNA (251 nucleotides) under Clostridioides difficile. Its description in RNAcentral is "partial 16S ribosomal RNA". It matches the Rfam family "Bacterial small subunit ribosomal RNA", at positions 1019 to 1271 of the family's 1533-position model. Lineage: Bacteria; Bacillati; Bacillota; Clostridia; Peptostreptococcales; Peptostreptococcaceae. The record is from RNAcentral.